This 114-nucleotide ribosomal RNA is filed under the name Danio rerio (zebrafish). Lineage: Eukaryota; Metazoa; Chordata; Actinopteri; Cypriniformes; Danionidae. The record is from RNAcentral.
AGCCACAGCCAUAUCACCCUGCAGCCCAAGACCGGUAACUGAAGCUAAGCAGGGCUGAGCCUGGUCAGUACCUGGAUGGGAGUACACAAGGGGAAAACUAGGCUGCUGUUGGAG